RNAcentral lists this RNase P RNA (365 nucleotides) under Pseudocoprococcus catus. RNAcentral's name for it is "Coprococcus catus RNase P RNA component class A". It matches the Rfam family "Bacterial RNase P class A". Rfam says of the family: Ribonuclease P (RNase P) is a ubiquitous endoribonuclease, found in archaea, bacteria and eukarya as well as chloroplasts and mitochondria. The record is from RNAcentral. Lineage: Bacteria; Bacillati; Bacillota; Clostridia; Lachnospirales; Lachnospiraceae.
UAAGUCUGUCGGAUAAUCGCGGCUGCAAGCGUCGAAAGACCGCAGGUGAGGAAAGUCCGAGCUUCUCAGGCAGAGUGCCGGAUAACGUCCGGUGGAGGCGACUCCAAGGCCAGUGCAACAGAAAUAAACCGCCUGCUUCGUCAGGUAAGGGUGGAAAGGCGAGGUAAGAGCUCACCGCUCCUCUGGUAACAGAGGAGGCUCUGUAAACCCCACUCGGAAGCAAGACCGCAUAUAAGACGAUACGUCGGCCCGGCGUGUUUUAGGGUAGGUCGCUCGAUCCUGCUGGCAACAGCAGGGCUAGAUAGAUGAUUAUCGUUUCCGGUUUUCCGGAUUCACAUAACUCGGCUUACAGACAGGCUUACAUC